This 83-nucleotide transfer RNA is filed under the name Canis lupus familiaris (dog). It matches the Rfam family "tRNA". Rfam says of the family: Transfer RNA (tRNA) molecules are approximately 80 nucleotides in length. Their secondary structure includes four short double-helical elements and three loops (D, anti-codon, and T loops). Further hydrogen bonds mediate the characteristic L-shaped molecular structure. tRNAs have two regions of fundamental functional importance: the anti-codon, which is responsible for specific mRNA codon recognition, and the 3' end, to which the tRNAs corresponding amino acid is attached (by aminoacyl-tRNA synthetases). tRNAs cope with the degeneracy of the genetic code in two manners: having more than one tRNA (with a specific anti-codon) for a particular amino acid; and 'wobble' base-pairing, i.e. permitting non-standard base-pairing at the 3rd anti-codon position. RNAcentral also lists the same sequence under 1 other name. Lineage: Eukaryota; Metazoa; Chordata; Mammalia; Carnivora; Canidae. The record is from Rfam by way of RNAcentral.
GCCUGAGUGGCUCAGUGGUUGAGCAUCUGCCUUCGGCUCAGGGUGUGAUCCUGGAGUCCUGGGAUCGAGUCCCACAUCAGGCU